GAGUUUGAUCCUGGCUCAGAACGAACGCUGGCGGCAGGCCUAACACAUGCAAGUCGAACGCCCCGCAAGGGGAGUGGCAGACGGGUGAGUAACGCGUGGGAAUCUACCGUACCCUACGGAAUAACGCAUGGAAACGUGUGCUAAUACCGUAUACGCCCUACGGGGGAAAGAUUUAUCGGGGUAUGAUGAGCCCGCGUUGGAUUAGCUAGUUGGUGGGGUAAAGGCCUACCAAGGCGACGAUCCAUAGCUGGUCUGAGAGGAUGAUCAGCCACAUUGGGACUGAGACACGGCCCAAACUCCUACGGGAGGCAGCAGUGGGGAAUAUUGGACAAUGGGCGCAAGCCUGAUCCAGCCAUGCCGCGUGAGUGAUGAAGGCCCUAGGGUUGUAAAGCUCUUUCACCGAUGAAGAUAAUGACGGUAGUCGGAGAAGAAGCCCCGGCUAACUUCGUGCCAGCAGCCGCGGUA
This 465-nucleotide ribosomal RNA is filed under the name uncultured Alphaproteobacteria bacterium. RNAcentral describes it as "bacterial SSU rRNA". It matches the Rfam family "Bacterial small subunit ribosomal RNA", at positions 9 to 522 of the family's 1533-position model. The record is from RNAcentral. Lineage: Bacteria; Pseudomonadati; Pseudomonadota; Alphaproteobacteria.